UACGUAGGGGGCUAGCGUUGUCCGGAAUCAUUGGGCGUAAAGAGCGCGUAGGCGGCCAGAUAAGUCCGGUGUGAAAGUCAAAGGCUCAACCUUUGAAUGCCGCUGGAAACUGUCUGGCUAGAGUCCGGGAGGGGCGUGGAAUUCCUGGUGUAGCGGUGAAAUGCGUAGAGAUCAGGAGGAACACCCGUGGCGAAGGCGGCGCCCUGGUCCGUUACUGACGCUGAGACGCGAAAGCGCGGGGAGCGAACGGG
Molecule: ribosomal RNA, 251 nt
Filed under: uncultured bacterium
Lineage: Bacteria
Description: partial 16S ribosomal RNA
Rfam family: Bacterial small subunit ribosomal RNA
Source: RNAcentral